RNAcentral lists this unclassified non-coding RNA (395 nucleotides) under soil metagenome. RNAcentral's name for it is "partial contains 5.8S ribosomal RNA, internal transcribed spacer 2, and large subunit ribosomal RNA". The stretch from base 1 to 122 matches the Rfam family "5.8S ribosomal RNA", at positions 35 to 154 of the family's 154-position model. The record is from RNAcentral.
GAUGAAGAACGUAGUGAAAUGCGAUACUUGGUGUGAAUUGCAGAAUCCCGUGAACCAUCGAGUCUUUGAACGCAAGUUGCGCCCGAAGCCAUCAGGUUGAGGGCACGUCUGCCUGGGCGUCACAUAUCGUUGCCCAAUGCCUAUUGCAGUGCAAUAGGAAUUUCUAGGGCGAAUGAUGGCUUCCCGUGAGCAUUGUUGCCUCGCGGUUGGUUGAAAAUCGAGUCCUUGGUAGGGUGUGCCAUGGUAGAUGGUGGUCGAGUUAGAACGAUACCGAUCAUGUGCAUGCUCCCCAAAAUAUGGCCUCUAUGACCCACACGCGUCUUUUGACGCUCAUGACGAGACCUCAGGUCAGGCGGGGCUACCCGCUGAAUUUAAGCAUAUCAAUAAGCGGAGGA